UUUUUUUUUUAAAAAAAUAAAAAUAAAAAAAUAACUACAAUGAGCAUGUUCUAUGGACAAAAAGCUGCUAUUGCUCACAAAAAUGUCUGGUUCAUUAAAUGCUAGGAUAGAUUGUGCAGGUUCAGCAUUCACAAAGCACUGUGAAAGGCAAUAAUUUAAAAUUGCAAAGCCUUUUCAAUUACACAGACUGUUGUGACCUCAUAGUCCAAACUUAAAAAGUUAAAUACCACAAAAAAAUGAUAGGUAUAGACAAGAAUUCUACCACAGAUUAUUCUAAACAAGUUCUUGGCUCAAUCAAACUCAUCAGAACUAGAUCAACCCCAUAAUAACUAAUCCAUAAAAGAUAAGUAA
RNAcentral lists this unclassified non-coding RNA (351 nucleotides) under Hevea brasiliensis (rubber tree). Lineage: Eukaryota; Viridiplantae; Streptophyta; Magnoliopsida; Malpighiales; Euphorbiaceae. The record is from RNAcentral.